AUUGAACGCUGGCGGCAGGCCUAACACAUGCAAGUCGAGCGGUAGAGAGGUGCUUGCAUCUCUUGAGAGCGGCGGACGGGUGAGUAAUGCCUAGGAAUCUGCCUGGUGGUGGGGGAUAAACGUUCGGAAACGGACGCUAAUACCGCAUACGUCCUACGGGAGAAAGCGGGGGAUCUUCGGACCUCGCGCCAUUAGAUGAGCCUAGGUCGGAUUAGCUAGUUGGUGAGGUAAUGGCUCACCAAGGCGACGAUCCGUAACUGGUCUGAGAGGAUGAUCAGUCACACUGGAACUGAGACACGGUCCAGACUCUACGGGAGGCAGCAGUGGGGAAUAUUGGACAAUGGGCGAAAGCCUGAUCCAGCCAUGCCGCGUGUGUGAAGAAGGUCUUUCGGAUUGUAAAGCACUUUAAGUUGGGAGGAAGGGUAGUAACCUAUACGUUGCUACUUUGACGUUACCGACAGAAUAAG
This 467-nucleotide ribosomal RNA is filed under the name uncultured bacterium. RNAcentral describes it as "bacterial SSU rRNA". It matches the Rfam family "Bacterial small subunit ribosomal RNA", at positions 30 to 490 of the family's 1533-position model. The record is from RNAcentral.